UGCCUUUAGAUUGGGGACAACAGUUGGAAACGACUGCUAAUACCGAAUGUGCCUUAGGGUGAAAGAUUUAUUGUCUAGAGAUUGGCUCGCGUCAGAUUAGCUAGUUGGAGUGGUAACGGCACACCAAGGCGACGAUCUGUACUUGGUCUGAGAGGAUGACCAGGCACACUGGAACUGAGACACGGUCCAGACUCCUACGGGAGGCAGCAGUGGGGAAUUUUCCGCAAUGGGCGAAAGCCUGACGGAGCAAUACCGCGUGAGGGAGGACGGCUUUUGGGUUGUAAACCUCUUUUAUCAGGGAAGAAUCGAUGACGGUACCUGAUGAAUCAGCAUCGGCUAACUCCGUGCCAGCAGCCGCGGUAAUACGGAGGAUGCAAGCGUUAUCCGGAAUUAUUGGGCGUAAAGCGUCCGUAGGUGGUUUAUCAAGUCUGCUGUCAAAGCGUGCGGCUUAACCGCAUAAGGGCAGUGGAAACUGAUGAACUAGAGUGCGAUAGGGGUAACAGGAAUUCCCAGUGUAGCGGUGAAAUGCGUAGAUAUUGGGAAGAACACCAGCGGCGAAAGCGUGUUACUGGGUCUGCACUGACACUGAGGGACGAAAGCUA
RNAcentral lists this ribosomal RNA (602 nucleotides) under Leptolyngbya sp. PCC 7410. Its description in RNAcentral is "bacterial SSU rRNA". It matches the Rfam family "Bacterial small subunit ribosomal RNA", at positions 127 to 762 of the family's 1533-position model. The record is from RNAcentral. Lineage: Bacteria; Bacillati; Cyanobacteriota; Cyanophyceae; Leptolyngbyales; Leptolyngbyaceae.